CCAAAGGCUCUUUUAAGAGCCAUUUAAUCCUCUAGAUGGCUGUAG
Molecule: non-coding RNA, 45 nt
Organism: Sus scrofa (pig)
Lineage: Eukaryota; Metazoa; Chordata; Mammalia; Artiodactyla; Suidae
Source: Rfam